AAGUCGUAACAAGGUAACCGUAGGUGAACCUGCGGUUGGAUCAUUAACAAUCCUAGACCCUCGGGUCUUUAACCCCUUGUGCACCUAUUAAUGUAUCUGGGCAUCUUGUAUAAGGUGCCCAACUGUAUCAACCUUACUAUUAGUCUGAAUUUUAUUAUAUAAAUAAAAACAACUUUUGACAACGGAUCUCUUGGCUCUC
This 199-nucleotide unclassified non-coding RNA is filed under the name fungal sp. RNAcentral's name for it is "partial internal transcribed spacer region". The stretch from base 1 to 46 matches the Rfam family "Eukaryotic small subunit ribosomal RNA", at positions 1786 to 1831 of the family's 1831-position model. The record is from RNAcentral. Lineage: Eukaryota; Fungi.